ACGAACGCUGGCGGCGUGCUUAACACAUGCAAGUCGAGCGGAAAGGCCACUUCGGUGGUACUCGAGCGGCGAACGGGUGAGUAACACGUGAGUAAUCUGCCCCUGGCUUUGGGAUAGCCACCGGAAACGGUGAUUAAUACCGGAUACGACCGCUCCUCGCAUGAGGUGGUGGUGGAAAGUUUUUCGGCCAGGGAUGUGCUCGCGGCCUAUCAGCUUGAUGGUGAGGUAAUGGCUCACCAUGGCUUCGACGGGUAGCCGGCCUGAGAGGGUGACCGGUCACACUGGGACUGAGACACGGCCCAGACUCCUACGGGAGGCAGCAGUGGGGAAUAUUGGACAAUGGGCGGAAGCCUGAUCCAGCAACGCCGCGUGAGGGAUGACGGCCUUCGGGUUGUAAACCUCUUUCGCCUGUGACGAAGUUCUGCCUUUUUGGGUGGAGUGACGGUAGCAGGUAAAGAAGCACCGGCCAACUACGU
RNAcentral lists this ribosomal RNA (476 nucleotides) under uncultured bacterium. Its description in RNAcentral is "bacterial SSU rRNA". It matches the Rfam family "Bacterial small subunit ribosomal RNA", at positions 29 to 506 of the family's 1533-position model. The record is from RNAcentral.